UAGGGAAUCUUCCACAAUGGACGCAAGUCUGAUGGAGCAACGGCCGCGUGAGUGAAGAAGGUUUUCGGACCGUAAAGCUCUGUUGUUGGUGAAGAAGGAUAGAGGUAGUAACUGGCCUUUAUUUGACGGUAAUCAACCAGAAAGUCACGGCUAACUACGUGCCAGCAGCCGCGGUAAUCGUAGGUGGCAAGCGUUGUCCGGAUUUAUUGGGCGUAAAGCGAGCGCAGGCGGAAGAAUAAGUCUGAUGUGAAAGCCCUCGGCUUAACCGAGGAAUUGCAUCGGAAACUGUUUUCUUGAGUGCAGAAGAGGAGAGUAGAACUCCAUGUGUAGCGGUGGAAUGCGUAGAUAUAUGGAAGAAUACCAGUGGCGAAGGCGGCUCUCUGGUCUGCAACUGACGCUGAGGCUCGAAAGCAUGGGUAGCGAACAGGAUUAGAUACCCUGGUAGUCCAUGCCGUAAACGAUGAGUGCUAAGUGUUGGGAGGCUUCCGCCUCUCAGUGCCGCAGCUAACACAUUAAGCACUCCGCCUGGGGGAGUACGACCGCAAGGUUGAAAC
RNAcentral lists this ribosomal RNA (554 nucleotides) under uncultured bacterium. RNAcentral describes it as "partial 16S ribosomal RNA". It matches the Rfam family "Bacterial small subunit ribosomal RNA", at positions 355 to 900 of the family's 1533-position model. The record is from RNAcentral.